Molecule: ribosomal RNA, 459 nt
Filed under: uncultured bacterium
Lineage: Bacteria
Description: partial 16S ribosomal RNA
Rfam family: Bacterial small subunit ribosomal RNA
Source: RNAcentral
CCUACGUGUGGCUGCAGUGAGGAAUAUUGGUCAAUGGCCGGGAGGCUGAACCAACCAAGUCGCGUGAGGGAAGACGGCCCUACGGGUUGUAAACCUCGUUUGUCAGGGAGCAAGGUGCAGGUCGGGACCUGCUGUGAGAGUACCUGAAGAAAAAGCAUCGGAUAACUCCGUGCCAGAAGCCGCGGUAAUAAGGAGGAUGCGAGCGUUAUCCGGAUUUAUUGGGGUGAAAGGGUGCGCAGGCGGAGGCACAAGGAAGCGGUAAAAUCGCGCGGCUCAACCACGCUCCGCCGUUGAAACUGUGUCCCUUGAGUGCGCGAAGGGUAGGCGGAAUGCGUGGUGUAGCGGUGAAAUGCAUAGAUAUCACGCAGAACUCCGAUCGCGAAGGCAGCCUACCGGCGCGCAACCGACGCUCAUGCACGACAGCGUGGGUAUCGAACAGGAUUAGAUACCCCAGUAGUC